Molecule: ribosomal RNA, 465 nt
Filed under: Vreelandella stevensii
Lineage: Bacteria; Pseudomonadati; Pseudomonadota; Gammaproteobacteria; Oceanospirillales; Halomonadaceae
Description: partial 16S ribosomal RNA
Rfam family: Bacterial small subunit ribosomal RNA
Source: RNAcentral
CCUACGGGAGGCUGCAGUGGGGAAUAUUGGACAAUGGGGGCAACCCUGAUCCAGCCAUGCCGCGUGUGUGAAGAAGGCCCUCGGGUUGUAAAGCACUUUCAGUGAGGAAGAACGCCUGGUGGUUAAUACCCUUCAGGAAAGACAUCACUCACAGAAGAAGCACCGGCUAACUCCGUGCCAGCAGCCGCGGUAAUACGGAGGGUGCGAGCGUUAAUCGGAAUUACUGGGCGUAAAGCGCGCGUAGGUGGCUUGAUAAGCCGGUUGUGAAAGCCCCGGGCUCAACCUGGGAACGGCAUCCGGAACUGUCAAGCUAGAGUGCAGGAGAGGAAGGUAGAAUUCCCGGUGUAGCGGUGAAAUGCGUAGAGAUCGGGAGGAAUACCAGUGGCGAAGGCGGCCUUCUGGACUGACACUGACACUGAGGUGCGAAAGCGUGGGUAGCAAACAGGAUUAGAUACCCCAGUAGUC